GCUCCCCUCAGCGCCCCGGCGCUCCCGCCGGCGGUGAGGACUGAGGCGGGGAGCAUCCAGGACCUGCCUGGUGGGCACUGGAAGCCGGGAGCCGCCUGCCUGGCACCUGCCGUAGUGGCUGGCUGUGCCAAAGUGCGACACUUCUCCUCCUCCUUCUCCUCCUCGGCAGCCCCAGAGCCCCCAAAGGCGCUGGGUUCUGGCUGGGUCAGACGGUUGCUCUUGGCCCGCCAACCACCGACUUAUCCUAGCUCCGUGUGGGCUUUGCUCCUUGCAGUUAUGCCCAAAGAGACACCUGGGUUCCUACUGGCACACACGUCACAGGCUGCAGCCAGGGGGAUCCCUUGGUGAAGAAUGGUCUGCACUGGGACUGAGGAAACACUGAACAGCCCAUUGAACAGGUAGGUAGGAAUGAGAUGCUGCUAAAGCUCAUCCCUGCAGAAAUCUGGGAUCUGUAGCUCUCCCCAGAGGACUCAGGAUUGGGGUUAUGCACCGUGGUCUGGUCUCUCAAAAGAACAAAGAAAAACUGGAGGUAAAGUGGAGGCAACUUUUCUUUAUGUGGUCCAAAGGGGUUUGAGUAGCAUCUGCUCUGUAGGUUUGUUAGUUGCAGUUUGAUUUUGGUGGGUUAUGAGUUUCUAAAUGAGGGCAAGUGAGCAGUGCUGCAGAGACAUCAGGACAUAUCUAUCACCAGCCCAUUUUGGUACAUGAGCAUGUUCUGUCACCUUCCCUCCCUCACAUUCACUUUAUGGAUGCUAAUUAAUUACAUCUAGAGCCCCUAUUUUUGCUAAUUUAUUUCUUUUAAAAACCCCAAAAAAACCAAACCACAUAUUUUCAUCACUUAUUGUACAAAUUAAGUAGUACCUCUUAAGUAGUUACAAGAGAGAUAUUUUUAUAUAAUUAAUAUUUUAAAGAAAAUUGUGAUAAAGAAGCAACAUAUUUGUCUCUGAAAUAUUUUUAAGAAUUACAAAUGCACAAAAGUCACUGUGUGCAACCUUAGUAGUUUGGCACUAGGCUGCUGCCAUGAACUAGAAAGAUCACUGGCUAAGGAAGCUGAGGCUCUUUUAAAGUGUAAUUAAAUUAAAGGUCUAUUAUAUUUUUUCACUCCAGUUUUAAUAAUAUAAUCCUUCAUGCCCACUCCCAGCUGGCUAAAUCCUAAUUACAACAUCCCAUAAUUUCUGUAGUAAAAAAAGUAUCUCACUUUAUGUAAAAGUGCUUUGCCACACUUCUGUCUGCUGAUGUCUUUCUCAUUUGUACCUUCUUUGCACUGCUCUGUUUAAAUGUGUCCUUUAUAAGACCUGGCUUUGCUGAUCCCAAGGGCUGGAUUCUUUGCAAGUGUGAUUGGCUCUGAGUGAGCAGAAAAUGUUGGACAUUUUGGCACAAUUAAAAAAAUAGGAAAAGUAUUUUGCCAUCUUUUCUGCACUCUGCAGCCUGCUGAGCUUCCACAGCUGAAGAAACUGACCUCUGUACUGUCAGCUGUGUGCGUGCAUGUUUUAACUGAGUCUUUUAACCUUGUUUUCUAUAUUUAGUUUGGGGUCUCUCAAUGAAAAGGCACUACUGGCCUUAUUUAAGGUAUUUUUCCUUCAGUCUGUUAAAAGGGAAUAUAAAAGGUCUCUGAUGGUUUGCUGAGUUAGUGCCCCUGUGAUUAGCUGUCUGCUGCUCCCCUGCUCCUUUGUACAAGGCAGAGCCACAGCACUCAGCAGCUGAGAAGGGUGUAAUCCCUAGCAAUCCUUUAACAAUGCAGAUGGAAAAGCUCCUGGUAAAUGUUUCUCUAUUUUUUUCAGAAGUUGCUCUCAUCCAAAUAUUUGGGUUUCUGGCUCAUCCUAUGGAUGGCAGCCUGAUGCUCUUUUUCCAGUGUUUGAGAAGAGCUACAUUCUUGUCUUGGAGGGGCUGUUAUUUACAUGGAAAAAUGUUGUAUGUGUGUUCCCAGUCCUCUUCCCACAGAAUCAGCCAAGGAAGUCUCACUGAAAAAGCAAUGUGCAUUUCUCUUAAAUGUUUCUCUCGGGUUCUUGAUCAACAAGAUCUGUUCAAAUCACUGCUUAACCACACAAAGUGCUCAAUUUCCAAAUGUUUGGCCACUUUCCUGUUUUGAUUCAAGAAAGUAAAAAAGUCACUGGCACAUCUGGCCUGUAUGAGAAAACAUCCACUACAGGAGACCUGCUUGAGUGGGAACACCCAAACACUUGGAGUGUUCCUCAAAUUUCAGCUCCAGGAAACAUGGAAUCUGUGGGUUGGACUUGCACAUCCUGGUGCAUGAUUGCUGCAAACUGCUGGAGAGCUGCUGCAUGUGGCAAAGCACAGGAUGUUGAUCACAUCUGUUCUCAGCUGAGUGCUGCCUGGCACUGUCAGAGCGUCAAACAUUUUGCCUAACAGAUAAAUGCAAAGCUUAGGAAUGCUGGAUCAGCAGUUACAGCACAAAGAUGUUUGGUGCAGCAAUGACAGAGUGUCACAACAACUCAUAAAGUUCUGAUUCGGUCUCUCGUGGAGAAAAUUUGCAUUUCAUGCAUCUCAAGGCCCUCACUGACUGCCCUGUUUGCUUGAGAAUCCAGUUUGAAAUUGUACUCCUUGUUUUUCAAGCCACACCCUCGCUCCUUGGACUUCUUUCCAGCUUGUCUCCUGGAGACGGCGCAGCCUGCCCCUUUCCUUCCCUCUGUCUCCUCUCUCCUUCCAGCAAACUUUUUGCUGCUGAGUCAAGAACUUCUAUCAUUGUCUCCCAUCCAGAACUGACUCCUUGUACAUGUCCACAGUCCUUCAUUUUACUGCAAAGUUCCAUACAAGUAGUGCUCUUUUCAUCUGGAAUUCAAUUAUCCCUUUCCAUCUGAUCUUCCUGAAUGCAUAACUCUGGGUUAUACAAAGCACUCUGAGGCUCUGGAUGAGUUUCUUCUGUGGUUUUUGUCAGUCAUUGUGCAAGCUCCUGAGAGCAAGCUGGUAAAAAUUGUAAUGUUUUUGAAGAAGUUAUUUGAAAUGUAAAGAUUAUGUUGUAGAGUUGUUAAAUAUAUAAUUAUUUAAUGUCUAAUUCAUCCUUUGUCAGGAGAAUGGUGUCGCACACGCUUAGCAUUUCAAGACAGUCCUGUUGUGGUGGAUUUUACUCCUGGCAUGUUCUUGACAAAAGGUCACUUUAUGAGUUUACUUCAGGAUGUGAGACCCCAUUCUGUAUUCCCUGCACAUGAAAGCUCUGCUGGAGAUUAUCAUCUCCAUCUCUCCAUCAUCUCCAUCAGUCUGAUAGCAUUUAAUGUCACAAUGAACAGGGGUGUCUAAAGCAGUGCAGGCUGGAGGUCUUUAGGUUCCCCCCAGAGAAUGCCAUGGUGAUACACAAUUCACCUGCAAUGUGCAAACAAUAUGCUUGUCUUCCCUUGCAGGAGCGUUUCCAUUUGAAGGAGCCAUUUCUGUUCAUGAACAGGACACCAGCCUUGAUGCUCUCUGUGCUUUUGUAGGGUUGUUUGCUCCUCCCUGGACACUGAUGUUCUUCAGGCUUUGCAACACAGGUGCUGAAUUCCUUGCAUGGCAGUUUCUUAGCUGAAAUUGCAACUCCUUCAGCCCAGCCUUGUAAAAACAGGGGUGUAGUGGUCAAUGAUACAAAGCUGGAUAAAGGGCAGGGGAGUCAACAUCUGUCUUCAAAAUCCUGAGAGAUGGAUCAGGGCUGCAUCCUACAGCAACCUUUUUAGAAGCUGAAUUCCUCCAGUGUUUUCUCUGGUAGCUCAUUCAUCAAGUGGGAAGAAAGUGAAUGUGUUCUUUGAAAAUCCAAGUGAUGGCAAGAGAUGAGGUAGCCCAUAUAAAUCCAGCAUUGCUAAUUUCACUAGGUUUAGAACAACAGAAACCAAGCUAUGUUUGUAUAUAGACCAAGUAAAAUUUUAGUCUAAAGGAUCUGAUCCUUAAUUACCUUAAUUUUAGGAGCAGAACUAGUCAGUGUGCAUAAACAGGGGAUGAGAAAGGGCUGGAAAGGACCUGGAGGGGUCAGCUGGUGAUCACGAGUGUCCUACAGCCAAUAUUGUCCAAUUGCAGAUUCAUAGGGUGAUGUGAGAAAUGCUGAAUAUAUUGACUGUUAGGGCCUUUUAGCUAUUUCCUUUGAAAUAGACCCUUAAGAGGGAAAACCUCAAUGUUCUUUUUCUUAACAUUAUUAUAUUAUCCACGAAAGAGAAUGAAGCCAAGAAAAGCAGAAACUGAGUUACAUUUGAGAAUAUACUGGCAAACCAUAGGGAUGGUAAACAGACCUUUUAUUUUCUAAAGGGUAUUUACAAUAUAUUUCCCAUUCUCCUACUCCUGGAAAGAAGUGCUCACUAAAUUCAUCUGUGAAUUUCCCUCAUCCUCAGAAGGAAGCAAGUCUUUAUGUGUGUGCUUUCAUUAUGUUUGCCUGUUUCUUUUUCCCCACCACAGUCAGUUUUGUGACCAUUGGCCAAAUUCAACCAAUGUGAUAGAGAGGAAUAAGCUCAAAGAUACUGGAUUCCAGCAAGUUUCAUGAAAACAGGCAGCCACAAUGGAGAGACUUCUGUUUAGAAGGAAUGGCUGAAGUAGGAGUUCAGCUUUUAUUGGCAAAUUUAUGAAGCAGUCAGUGCAAAUCAUGAAAAAAAAAAUCUUUGACCAAGGACAGUACCUUCUGGAAUUAGUUUUAUUGUUCAUGAAAUAUUUUUGUUCCCUUUUCUUACACCCAAAUUCCUGCUUUUCUAUGAAUCUCUACCUUUGCAUCAGCUUUAAAUAUAGGUUCAAAAAUCCUUUCCCAAAACCAUCAUUAUUUUCUGAGCUGUGUUUUCCCCUUCAAAAGCAGGUUUUUGUUAGACCAUGUAAUGCUGUUUUAUGUAACACAAAGGCCCUGGAUUUUUUUCUAUCAGCUUAUAGGACUUCGGGUGGCUGAAGAUAAGUCACUCUCAUUUUUUUAUUCACUCCUGGCUUUCUCUGUCUGGAGUUGUUUGUGGAACAGGUUUUAAUGGACAUUAUCUGCAUUUCUUGCUUCUUAAUGACAUAUACAAUCUGAAUGUAACAGACUGGCUUUUCUGGAACUUCAGUAUUAACUAGAAUAUUCAAGAUACAAACACAACACAAAGAUAUUUCCCAGAGAGGUUGGAAAAUCACACAUUUACUAUCUUUUAGAUUAUUGACAAUAAGCAAGAUGGCUGAGCUGGAAUAAAAUGUGGGCAAGCACAGGCUUACAAGCUGAAAGUCCUCAUAAUGAAAUGGCUACCUAAAAAAAAAUCCUACUAGUGCUCAGUGCCUACAAGGCAGAAGCAAUACAUAAGCACUGUGCAGCCCUGUCACUAGAAUGAAUUUAGAUGACACAAGAUGAAGACAGCCGUGCCCCUUUCUGCCAGAGCUUUCAGUGUAAGCGAUGCUACUUGUGUGAGGAAUGUUGAAAAAAGGGGGAAAACCUGUGCAGAGGCCUUAACAAGCACCAGAGGGAAUUUACAAUGCUGCCUUUUUAGGGUAUAAUUAAUCUUUUUAGAAAGAUCUUCCUGGAUUUAAAGAGAAUUUGGUACUUUCUACUUUUCUAAAGGCCCAAAGGAUGCCCUGAAACAUAAAUAAUUACAUCAUACUUUUGGCAAACUGUGCUAUUCCAGAUAUGUUGUGCAUCUUAAGCAAACACAAGAAAUAAAAGGGGAAGCAUACAAAGUGCUAGCUAAAUCAUUUAUUUAGCAUUUUGUUGUCAUGUCUCUUUGCAGAUUUUUGGUCCUUAUAAUGGAGAAAAUGUGAUCUAAUUAAGUACUAAUUUCAAAAAGACUAUAUGGAGGUUGUUAUGGAGCAGCUUUUAGUUGCCUCCUUUCUAUACCAUACUGCAUCCAGGAAGCAAAGGGAUGAUUUCUACCCCCAGUGCCAGAAUUUUCCCUCUUUCAUCUUAGCUCUCCACAAGUCAUUUGCUCCAACUCAACCAGAGUCUAGUGCUUAAAAUUCUGGAUGGAGUAAGGCUCGAGCUGCAGCACACCAAAAAUGAGUAAUCUUUGAGUGUUUCUACCCAUUUUAAGAAGACUGAAACAUGUUAAUAACAAGCAGCUCUUUUGUUUCUUUGGUCAUGCUGGAAGAGGCAAACUAAAGAAUUGAAAGAAACAAGUUUGGUGUUAAGAAGGAAGCACUUUCACGGGCCCCAAAGAUCUUUAAAUAUGUGCAUAUUUCUCUUCUGGCUCAGAAUGUGACUGAGACAGCACAUGGUAUGUUGCCUGAUGCAAGAACUGUGUUGAGUUAAUGCAUAUUGCCAAGUCUGUGUCUGCAAACAGGAGCUUGGUUUGCUAUAGCUGGGCUGUGGCUGGUCUUACUCUUUCACAGACAGCAAAAUAGCAGAAUACAUAGUAGAAUACAGGGAACUCUUGAGCUUUUUGAUCAAUUAUUCUAGAACAAGGGUAGUCAAAUCUAGGCCAUAGGAUUAAAACGCAGCCUGAAUCCACUCUCAUUUUGACAUAAACAUUUUGGAAUGGUCUGUCCUUUCCCAGUCCACCCACUCAUGUCAAAAAAUGAUGUGGUUGGAUGUGCUGGUGAAGGUCAGCUGUGGGCAUGGUCUCUGGUUAGGCAGGGCUUUCUGAUGUCCUGCCUAAGCAGAGACCUGUGUGUUAGCCCUUUUCACUAGUGUGUUACCUCCUCAGCUGCUGGCUUACAAAACAACAAGGCAGCAUCUAUUACACUGCUGAUCUCAGCUACCACUUCCUCUGUCAUCUCCAUUCAUAGUUACAUAUGACAUGCAGAAUUAUUUUCAGCUCUACUUGGCUUGCAUGUAAUCCAACUUUGCAGCUCCCCCCUGAACUCUGUAAAUGCAACAGCAGGAAGAAGCCACCUUUUGUCCCUUUGGGUCAGGAGGACAUGCCAAACAUCAGCGUGGAUGUGUUCCUGAAAACCAAACUGCUUUCUCUAAGUCUGCUCACAGACUUCAUAAUCCAUCUGUUUUCUGUAAAAUGCAGUUAUUUACAGCAAAGUUCACUUCACAGUACAGUAGCUGCUGUUUAUGUUGCUAUUUCUGAUGAGGUUCAAUAUUGUCUAUUUUUCAUUAUAUCUCAAUGCUGUCUUUAAUUGCCUCUUUCCAGCAGAUUUAUGUAUUAUCCCUCCCGGCUGUUCACACACAGACUUCCCCUUCCUUGGCAAUCUUCCAGUCAUUCCAUACUACAGAGGUACUAGAACAGCAGAGCAGUUGAUGAGUUAAAAUAAAACUACAUUAUGUAGUACUACAUGGCCUACAGAUGACUGAGCAAUUGGGCAACAGAGCGUCCGAGACUCGUCAGAAGUUCUCUUCCUUCUCUUGAUUUUUCAUUUUAUACUUUUGGGCAGGUACAAAAAAAGGUGGUAGAGGCUUAACAAAUAUAUCUUGAAAUGUUAUCUAAUGCCUUUAUUUAUCACUACUCCAGGGAAGAUGUUGGAAUUAAUGAUUCUCUCAAAUAACGAGCUAAAAUUGUUCUCCCAGGAAUCAGCUUCAUAACCCUGACACUUGAGACAUGUGGGGAAGCAGAGACAUUCCCUGGAGAUCUGCUGGGGUCACUAACACAGCCAGGCUGACUCAGCAGCACAUCUACAUGUGCCCAGCUGCAAAGAUACAAGGAGGCUUAAUGGUUUUAAUGUGGUGCUCCACAUAAAUACACACCUCUUUCCUAAAUAAGUACAUUCCUAAUUUAAGGCUUCCUAAUUUAAUGCACCCAGACCCCACUGCUCUGUCAUUGCCAGUAGCUGCUGGUGUCCAGUAACACGUGGAAACCAGCCAUGUGGGGCUGUGUCCCACAGAAGAGCUGCUGGGGUUGUGCUCUUCACCCUGCCUCACCUGGGCACAGGUGAAGCCCUGGGGCUCCUGGCAGGCUGCCACUGUAAACCCAGCACAGCUCCCUUGAGUGGAGAGCAAAGCCUCAAUAUUGCAUUUCAAACACUGAUUAGUAAAGCAGGUGAUUUUAAAAAAAAGGUGUUUGUUUAGCUUAUGGGAUUGUGGAAAAGAAAACAGCUCCAGAAAUCCAAAGCUGGAAAUGCUACAGCAGUCAUGUAAAUGGGAUUCCUCUGAAUGAGCUUCCUUCCCUCCACCUUUGGCUGCAAGGAUGAAAGUCUUUCUCAGACAAGUGCUUUAACAAGCAGCUGAAAUCCAGCUCAACAGAAAGCCAUUCAAAAGGGUCAAGAGCAAGGAUUCAUGCAGUAAAAUAAAUACCUGGAGAUGGAAAAAUCUUUCUUUAUUUUUCCUCCCACAUGUUUUGGAAUUAUUGUGCCAGGAAAUUAUUAAAUCACACAAGUUUCAGUAAUAAUGAAUGCAUUGCUUGGAUGGCAUUGCUGAGGGAUAUGGCUUAAGGAAAAUAACUUUCCAAAGUCAGUGAUGAAAGAUCAGAUAGAUGAGCAAGACUACAAUUUAUAUGGACUUCUGAAAAUAGUACUGGUAUGAGAGGAUAUUCUUCAAAUUAAUCCAAGUGAGCAUUAAGAGGAGGCAUGUGCAUAAGAAACAGAGGGAUCUUGGUUCAAUAUUUUCUGCUGUCAUCCAGCAUAAAGGUUCCCAGUGAUAUUUUGGUUUAACAGGGAAGUCUGACACCUAAUUAGAAGAGGGACAAAUCAGAGCUGCUAAAGCACUUCUGUAUCUCAAAGGCCAUUUAAAAUUUUUGUGAAGAAGGCUACAUUUGCAGUGCAAAAAAUGCCAGUUCAGGGCAUGCCAGAGUUGUUCCGUGUCUCAGUAAGGUUGGUGCCUUCAUAAGAGACCCCUCACGAGCUUGUUUUCUCACCUGCACUUUGCUUAAUGUUGUGAUUCAGUUUUAGGUCAUUCAACAAAAAUUGACCCAUCCCUGAAUUAUUGCAGCUGUGUCAUUUAUUUAAAAACACCUUUCUCUCCAUAGGGUGAUGCAGUAUGUACUGGUGAAUAUUUUCUACCUGUCUCAGUCACACCUGCACAGGGAGCAUGUGGAGAAGAGGUGGGAGGUGGCAGUGGCAGUUUGGCUGCAGCAAAGUGGGCUCUGCAUUGUCACUGUGCCUGCCUUGCAUCUGAGCACAUUCAGGGAGGAUCCCAAAGGCACCCACAAACCCUGCUAGCUCCUGUCCAUGCUGUGUGAAGCUUUGGGAACAAAAAUAAAUGCCAGAAAUGUCAACAGCCUAUAACAACAACGUACAAUGAAGCAGAUAAAAUGACUCACAGGUCUUCUCUGCAGUGCUGUUAGCAGCCUAUAUAUUUUCAGGGCAGAAAAUAAUCUGGAAUUGUCUGAGUCUCCAUCGAAAUCCUGCCUUUUAAGAGUUCUUGGCUUUCCCUAAAAGUCAAAUUAUAAGUAGUAAGUCUUUGGGCAUUCAGUCCUGGUCAUCCCACUUGCAUUAUUCUAGGGGAAAAAAAUACCAGCUGAUGUUGUUCCUCACAAAGCUUUCUCCAUGGGCAGUGGAUGCAAUUGGGUUUCAACCUUUGCUUUAUUACAUGACCCAUAUAUAUCAAACUGCUGGAUUGUUUGUCUGCCUCUCUGCCCAGUCUUCACUCAGAGAGGGAAGGAACAUCCUGUCAUCAUCAUCCAAGAGGAUCAGUGGGCUGAGAUGUAAACAGGCUGGCCAAUGCAGGCACAAGGAAAUGGUGGAAAGAGAGCCAUAAAGUUAAGACUGUCAAGACCUGAGGUAUGCAGCAACCCAGCACUGGAUCCAGGUAACUCACCAUGGAUCUUACUGGGAACCAAGAGCAGACUGCAUCACCACCCUUUGUAGUUGCUUCACACAGGGUAAUCCCUGCAGGAAUUUUUCUUCAAAGGCACCCAGUCAACAAACAUUUCAUGCAAACAAACAGCACAGAAAUUCUAAGAGAAAUUUGGGGUUCAAAUUGUAGGGCAAGCAGGUCAGAUUUUACUACCUACAUAAUUCAAACUCAAUUAGAACUGGCAAAAUCAAUACACCAAUGAGGGCAUACUGAAGGAAAACUCCUCCCUAACCUGUGUCUUUCCCAUAGGUGGAGACUGGGUGAAUUUAAAGGAUGAAAGAGCAAGGAAGAAAUUGGGAAAGACAUUGGAAAUGUUCAGUGAUAACUGAUUUAAUAACUUGUCUAAAUGUAGGGAGAGAUUAGAAGUCAGGAAUAAAGAAACCCAGUUUACAAAAUACAUAAUGUGAGUAAGAAAUUUUGUGAAAUAAAAUCAAAGGAAGAAAAACUGUAAUUCUUCCCAACUGCCCUAACAUGUCAGAUCUGAAAUUAUAAACUCUUUUGGGCAGUGGCUCCCACUGUAGGGCUGUCAGCACCUGACAUACCCAUUCCUAACUCUCAGUUUUCUACACUGGAGGGUCAAUGCCCACGUGGAGGGUGGCACAUGUGCAUGGCCUUGGUGGCACACUCCCUACUCUUGCUGCCCUCACGGACCCUGGCAGGCCGUGGGACACCCCAGGGCUGCCCAAAGGUUUGUCCAAGUGACAGAAAUUCAGCAGCUCCUCAGGGCUGGCCUGGGGUAGAGCUCAGCACUGGCCAUGACUGCUGUCAUUAACAGAGAGAGCAGAUUUACAGUUAAUGGGGAGGAAAAAGGAGUCAUCUUGCAUAGACAUGCCAAGGAGGCCCUCUGCUUUCCACAAAAUAGCCACAGCUAGAGCUGGAAGCCCAUUUUCUAGAAGGUUCUGCCUUGCCAACAGCAAACUCACAGUCCAUCUAGACUUUUUAUAGUGGAGGCAGGGCUGCACAGUCACUGUACUUAGUAAAUAAUGCCUGGCAUUCAGGGAUCUGCCUGUUUUGGCAGCCUGUUUAUUCUGGGGCACCUCCCUGCUUGCUUUCCACUAAACCCUACCAGUCCUUCAGUUCCAGCCCCAGUGGGGUUGGGCUUAACAUCUUCCCAGUUUGGGAAUUUGUAAUAAAUUUAUUUGAAAGCAAACAAACCAACCAACCCACCAAAAUGAAACGAAAAUUGUAGAACUCCCUCUUAAAGCCAAACAUCUUUUCAGAAGCAGGGAGAGGGGCAGGCAGAACAAUGGGGUCCUGCAUUCCAACUGCCCCUGCCCUGCCUGGUGUGAUGUACUUGGAUGAGCAUCCUUCACCUCCCCUUCCUCACUGCACUGUAAGCAAGGAAGUCCUUGAGAGAACACAAAGGGUUGAAAUGCCUGACCAGCCAUAAACAAACAGCUAUAUCCUUAAGACUCUGAAACUGAUUCUCAUGCCAGCAGAGCAAGCAAACUAUUAAUAUUCCUAGCAGAGAUCCAGAAUCCACUGCACUGCUCUAUUCUCUGUCAUCUCCUACUGUGCUCUUUGUACUAUUUUGAUUUCUCUAUAUGCAACAACUAAGUGCAGAGAUGGAAGCAUUCUCAAUUCCCAUUUGUUGAAGAACUCUCAGCAAAAAGGCAGUAAACCAAAGUUAUCUGAAUUAAAAAAAAAUCUGUCAGUCUAUUAACUUUCCUGUUUCAGAGCUUUUGUAAUAAAUAGCACUUCUGAAUCUCUGCAUUACAGUAUCAAACAAAAAUUAAACUCUACUGCUGCAAAAAAACCUCAGAAGCCAAGCUCCUUCCUUCACAUACAUGCAAGAACCUACCUGAAGGUCGAGACAUUCACAAGUUUUCUACCAUCACCAAAUUGGGGACCACACAAAUACCACAAGAAGGUUUUCAAAAAGGUUUGUAUCUUUUUUUGCCUUACUCCUGUUUCACCUGUCCCAUGUUCAUACAUACAUCCAGUUAUUGAUAUUCCUGAUAAUACCAAAUACUAUGGCAAGGUUACUUUUUAGCAACAUCUGGAAUUAUUUUAUCAUCACAAAUAAAUUCUUUUGCAAAAAUAAAUGCUGGUUUACAUUCCUCUCUCAGGAUCUAAGAGAAUCUACUCAAGAAUAACACAGAAAUGUCAUACACUCUCAUUCUCAGAAAACAAAACCCACCAGUUGCAAAAUUAUGUCCAUAAUAAUGGUACAAACUUAACAGAGUAGGUCCUGUGUUUUAACAGAUAUUAUGGGGGAAGAGAAUCAAUGAAGUUGUAAAAAAAAUUUGGGAAAUAAAUGCAACAACUCUUCAUUAACAAUAAGCACCUUUAUUGACUGUCUUACCAUUCAACACUCAUUCCAUUCAAUCUCUUCAACUGCUGAACUGCAGUCCAGUUUAGCAUUUAAAUAAAAGAUAAUGUAAUUUGACUUGUACAAAAAGUGUUAUACCUGGGUGGCACAGAAUUAAAGUUCUAUUUAAAAAAACAUAGACACAAAUAAUCACUACUUGUGAUUUGAAAAUUAAGUCCUAUGUAUUUCAAAGUAAAAAUUAACAGAUAUCCUCCAUAUGAUGUUAUGCUUGUAAAAAUGCCUACAAAAAUGUUUGUUCAGAAGGCAGACUGGUUGGAAAGUAUUUUCUAUUUCACCAUUUAACAAAUGACAUCACUUCACAAGAACCACUAGGCAGCAAAAUAUUUCAGGUGAAUUUCACACAUUAAAAGAACCCCUGACAUCAGCAUGUCCCAAUGAUUUCAGCAGGGCCCACACAGCUCAGCACAGCAAAAAAAAUCCGUGUAGUACAGUCUAAAAUUCAGCUACAUAUAAUUUGUUACAAGAUUUAAUUCAAUGCUCAGGAAAUUUAAAAAUCACAUCACCUAGGAGUGUAGUCAUCAGAUACUGGUUAUUCCCAUUCUUUUUCCUUGCUGUUUUUAGAAUUUUAUGUUUGUGUUAUGAAGGGCAUAAGCUACUUCCCAAUGUUCAAGAUCUCUUCAAAACUGAUUAGUAAACUUUUUGAGAAAUUGGAAAACUGCUUUUUAUAAAGUAUUUUAUAAAUAAAAAUAGUUGGGGUUUUUUUGCCAUCUUCUAACCUUAUUAAGCUUCUACCCAAGCCAAUAAAAUUAACCAGAGCUAUUUUGCUGCAAGAACACCAGCUUAUAUGCCAACAUGAAUAUGCAGGCAAAAUAAUUUAUCAAAAAUUAGCACAUGAGUGCAAAUUAAACUUCUUCUGAAAGUCCUGGACUCUACACAGUUUAAGUUUUUCAACAGUAUCCAAGAAGAAAUAAAAGUCCAUCUGAGGAAACAGUAAGAAAAGCUACUGAAGUAAAUCCUUCACUAUACAUGCAAAAUGGCAUUUCCUGGAAAAGCAAAAAUCAUGUGUUAUUUUCCUUUUAAAUUUCCUUUUCCUGUAGGAUGGAAAAUUAUUCCAACAGAUAAAAAACAUCAUCACUAUUACAAAAUAGUGGUGUCUCCUCAUGUCAGUUAGACUUAAGUUUGUUAUCAGCAAAAAUCAAUAUGAAAGCAGAGACAAGCAAUUCAGUUUGUAGCACAAAGUCUUUUGUACCCAUGCACCAUCUUUUUCCCCCUGCAAAGGAAACCCAGUGUGGGAAGUGAUCCUUUAAAACAAGGCCAUUAAAACCAAAGAAAAGUAAUCAAUAGAGCAAGAAAACCUAAGUAAAGGGAGGCAUACAUGACUGGGGCAGUGGAUGGGAUUGUUAGGAGGAGUUAGACCUCUGUAGAUUCCACAUGGCUGAGAUCCUGGGCUUCUACUCUGCUUGGAUCAGGGCAUUCUCAAAGAAAAAAUAUGGAUUUAUUUCUUAUUCCCAAAGCAAAACCAGGGAUUUAUUUUUUAUUUCCCUUCCCUGCCUGUGUUUUUAAUGGCAUCAAAGAUAUCCAGGAUGCACUGAUUAUUUCACAAGGCCAAAACAACUAAAGAUUUGCUCAAAAACUUGAGUUAAUUCUGUGAAGUAAUUUAGACUAAAAAUGGAAUAGCUUACAUCACAAAGGCAGCACAGUUCACCCUUAAAUCAAAGAUUUUUGCUUGGAUUCAAGCUCCAGAUUUCUUACUACACAUGACAGAACCAGAUCCUCCAGUGACAUUUUUCCUCCAUUUGCCAUAACUUAGUCAAGAAAGUCUCACUCAGUGCCCAUCCUUGUUAUCAGAGCAAACACUGAGUUGUGACACAGUUGCUUACAGGUGAAGGGAGAUUCCACACUAAAAGGACUAUUAUUUAAACAAAUAAGAAACUAAACCAGGUAUAAUCAAAAUUUCAAUCUUCCUUCACUGAGGUACUUAACAUAAGAACACUAACAACUAUAUAAUUUACAAAAUAAAUGUAUCAGCUGUCUUGAGGCAUCAAAUUAUAUAAUUAAUAAAUAUUCUAACAGAGUAAGAUAAUUAAUCAUGGCAUAAACCCAAAUAGUAAAAUGAUAUAUUAAUAUUAAUAGGCUAUUUAUAAUUCUUUAUGUGCAUAAAUGAUACAAACUGAAAAAUUAAAAAGCAAUUAAAGGUAGUCAAUUGCUCUUUAAUUUUUAUGUCCCUCCAAAAGAGAUUUUUUUUUGGGAGGGGGACUAAAAUUAAUGCCAUCAGUAACAAAGGGAACAGAGGCUCACCUUAAAUCUAAUUCACAACUCAACCCUGCCAGUAUGCCAGAAAGAGUAUUUUUUCCAUAAUACUAUGUCCAGUAAGUGUAGCUUUUUUAGCGAUUUAUUUUUCUACAAGUGAACUUUCUGGAGACAGUAAAACAAGAAAGGCUCAGUUUCUCUUAUAUCCUUAACAACUGGAUUCACCUUGUGGCAAGUGAGCUGAAGGUAACACAUCCCUUGAAAAAGGAAUGAGUGGGGUGUGAACGUGACAUCUGUGAAGGGGACAAGCUUGACAGCCUGAACACCAAAGCCUUUCUUUAAUUCAUAAGGCAAUGUGGCACUAGUUCAAAAGAAGUAACAAUCUCCUCCUAGCCACACACUGUCACCUGUGAUGUCCCAACUGACACAGGUCCCUUGGCCUCUCCAAACAGGGACCCUGCUUGCUUUCACAACAGCAGCAAGCUCUCUCACUGUCAUGUCUGCAGGCUGGAGAAGAAUUGUGAUUUUGUUCUACAGUGACCCUUACAAAAGGACAAAACAAAGUGAAAGCCCAAAUUCUAUCUGGAAGACUCAAAAAUGGUUUUGGGCUUUUCUUCAUUUGGAAUUAUUCUUACCUGCUAAGCCAGUGCACAUGCAUGUGAACCACAAUGGAGUUUCUUAACAGUCACAUUACCUAGCAAAGCCCAGCAUCUGCUCCAUCUGUAAUCACAUCUGAAAUAAAUGCUAAAGAACAGUCUUCUACAAUCUGUUUGUGCACUAUCAGAUUUCCAUUUCCUAAAUGGAAGCUGUUUUUUCAAAUAACCACCUAAAUUAAUAAUUUGAGAAAGAGCAGAAAAUUAAAAACAGAUGGUGACCAUUUCUGCAAAAGAAUCUUUAAGAGCACACACAUUUAAAUCCUGAUUUUGUUACCCAAACAAUUUGGGUCACUGUCAAUGAACAUUUCUUGCAGGCCAUAAGAUACCCUUAGAGAUCUUUACUGACAAGACUGUAAAGGCAAAAGUAUUUAGUUACCCAAACAUAAAAACCACAAUUUGUGGAUGCACCAUUUGGGCAAAGUCAUCUUAGGAAACAGAACACACACAGGAUAUUACCAUUACUGCACGACACCCUUGAUAUUUUACAACUUCCACAGAACAGUUCAUUCCCUAAGCCCCAGAAAUGCUGCAGAACAGUCACUAAAAAAUAUUUUUACAGCUGGAAAUCAGCAUUUUUUUCUGAAUUUAACAUAUCUGUAGGUAAACAGAAUUAGCAACAUUUCUUCUGAACAAAGCAGCACAUUCUGCUCCCCCUGCCCCCUCCCCAAAACAGAGGCAAAAAUGCAGCUCCUUUUCUCAUCACAGCUCCCAGGCCAAGGGCACUGCAGCUCUGUGGAGUGAGAAUUCCUCCACACACACCAUGCAGUUACACAGCUGAACAGGGCAUCCUGACCCAGCACUGAGGGAUUCCACUCCACAAGCACUUUUCCCAUGUACACUAAGAGGAAAUGUAUUGUGCUGACUUAAGGCUAUGUAAUUUUAAUGACAACAAAACCAGUAACAGAGCAGAAAAAAAGGAGAAACAGAUACCGCCCAAGAUUUUUCUUAAGAGAUGAGUUGAGAUGAGGCAUUCAGGAUGAACCAACACCGAACAAAAGAAAUUCAAAAAGUCAAAUUUAGAGUUGUCGGACUUUCCUAUCAGUGUUUUUAAUGUUGACAUCCAGGGUCUCCACUUUCUUCGUGAGCCGAUCCAACAUAUCAUCCUGCUCUUCUAUUUCAGUCUGCAGGCCAAGAGCGAGGCUCUUCAGGCGACUCAGCCCCGAAGACAUCUCAUCUGCCAGGGCACAGAGGGACCAUGAGCAAUCACAGUGCUGUAACACAGAUUCUCUAAAUGGACACUAUCAGGAUUCCUUCUUCUCCUGGGCUAGAAAACGUUAGAUACAAUUCCUCAACUGUGAGCAUUCCUCUGAAAUAGAGGAAGCACUGGUCAGCUACACAGUGACACAUGUAAGCAAACAGGCACUUUGUCUAUAUGCUACAGAACAAGGGAAGGCAAACUCAGCUGAAUGAUUUUGAGAAGUAAUAAAAGAAAUGCAGCAAAUCCACAAAUCUUUAGUACCUUUCAAUUCUUAGCAACUUUUAGCAAAACAUGUAUUUCAAAAGCUGUGCAUUGCUUUAAAUUACUUAGGUCUAAACUGAUGUACCAUGUAGAUAGUUUUGAAAUGCAAAUACAAGCAAAUGACUUUUUUAAUUAUCAUCAAAUUUUACAAAUCAACUAAACAAAAAAGCGUUGGCAAUGUAUCACUUAAUGAUUCUAUCUGCUUAGGAACCAAAGAUUCCCAAUUGUACAACAUCAAACAGCUUCAGUUUCCUCACUCACCUAAGUUGGUAUCAAUUUUCUGGUGGUAAGCUCGCAGCUGUUGGUUCUUUGGGUAGGCAUCCCUUUGCACUGAAGAAACUAAAUCUGCUUUGUUGAAGUCAUUGUCUGUCAAGAGUAUAGAGCACAGAAUAUUACAUAAUGAAAAAGCAUGUGAGAAGAGGUUUUGAGCUUUUAGCAAGGCUGUUAAUAAUUAGUUUGCACACAGCAGCCAGGUAAUCACAUAACCAGAGUACCGGGAGCAGUCCGAGACCAUUUUCUAUAGGCCAGCCCUGCAGAUGAACACUUCAGCUACAAUUAUUCUCUUUCGGGCUAACACUUGCAGGGAGCCGGGAGAGAAAAGCGAAGCGAGCCCCCGGGGGACCGGGAGCCGCUCUGCCCUCUGCUGCACAGAGCCCGGCACCGCACGCGGGGGCUGGGACUGAGCAUCAGAGCCUUCACUGCCUCACUCACACACCACCAUCAUCAUCAUCAUCAUCAUCCACAUCCUGCUGCCCUCCCGCUCCUACUGUGUGAGAUAGCCCAGGCUCACCUGAUAAAGAAACAUUAUUUAGUACGGAAAAGCCCUUACAGAAGUGAACAGAUUGAGAGGAGGAGGAAUGAGGCCAAACUGCAUACACCACCUUUUGAGAAUCAAGAGAUAGAUUCUGUAUGAAGGGUUAGAAUCCAUGUCUGAAAUAACAAGGCAAUGUAUCUGAAAACUACGACAAACAGUGGUUAAAAGGAGAACCUCUGAGCGUGCAACAUUUUGGCAAACUUAGGGAAACCCUGUCUGCACACUGUGUGCAUUCUCUGCAAAUAGAGGCACUGGGUGCUUUUAGUCUCUAGCAGGUAUAACACCUUCACUGUGGAGAUAAAGUGUUUAAUGGAAACAAUUCCCUAGAAUUCAAAGCAUGAAGGCUGGGAUCAAAACUCCAGAUGUUAGGCAGCAGGGUAAGUCAGCAGCUGGGCAGGCUGAAGGGUCUCUGCCUUCAUCACUCUGCAAGUUUGCCCCACACAGACGACAGGCAUUCAGUGUAAAAUAAAAUUAACAAACCUGAAUCAUCUAGC
Passer domesticus (house sparrow) is the source of this 17534-nucleotide long non-coding RNA. RefSeq lists it as uncharacterized. The record is from RefSeq and is a predicted model, not a curated record. The transcript has 3 exons. NCBI's taxonomy places the organism in Eukaryota, Metazoa, Chordata, Aves, Passeriformes, Passeridae.